AUAUUUCUCCACUACACAGAUGUGAAAAAUGUCAUUGAGGAAAUUGGUCGAACACCUUAAGUCCCGCCAUCGAGUGCACAACACGCUCUCUUCAUUUCACUCAUUCUUCUCUUCAAUUUCCACCACUUCCCUGCAAACUGCGAAACCCAACAACAAACAAGAGGAACAAGAUCCUCACUCUCUGCUGAGACAAGACCCAAUAGAGAUAUGCACCUCACUGUGGGUCAAAACCUUCUCUUCCCCAAAACACACUUCAUUCCCCAACCUCACUGGUUUUCUCUCCAACUUCGAUCUCUGGGUCUUCGCCUACCAGCGCUCUUGCGCCCACGCCACUGGCACCUUCCCUCCACGCAACGCCAUUCACUCCAACCAUCUACGUGACCUUCUCUCUCUUCGUAACGCCGUUAUUCGCGGCCGUUUCGCCUGGAACGACAACACCCGCCAAUUCAUUCGCGCCCCGAACGACAAGAAAACCCUAUCGAAACGCAAACUCGAAUCCGGCGAGCCAUGUUUUCAAGACAGGGUCAUUCAGGAGGUUCUGUUGAUGAUUCUGGAGCCGGUUUUCGAACCCCGGUUUUCCCCCAAAUCGCACGCGUUCCGACCCGGUCGAAGCGCACACACGGUUAUUCGAACCAUCAGGAGUAACUUCGCUGGUUACUUGUGGUUUUUGAAGGGGGAUUUGAGUGAGAUUUUCGACAGCGUGGAUAGAAAUGUUGUGAUGGGUUGUGUUGAGAAGGGUACGAGGGAUAAGAAAGUUCUGGGCUUGAUCAAAUCUGCACUGGUGGGGCGUGUGUCGCGCAAUGAAGACUGUGAUGUUGAGAAGUUGAAGAAGGAUAAGAAGAGGAAAGCUACGAAGAAGAGGCUUCUCAAUGAGAAUGAACCGAAACCUGAUCCGUAUUGGUUGAGAACAUUCUUCAGUUUCGCUCCAGAGGAGGCUGCUAAGGUACCAUCUUAUGGCCAUUGUGGGAUUUUAAGUCCAUUGCUUGCUAAUGUUUGCCUUAACGAAUUGGAUCAUGUGAUGGAGGAAAUGAUUGUUGAGUAUUUCAGGCCUUGUAAGUUUGAUUCCAUAUGGAAGUACUCAAUUGAUGAUGGCUCUCAUAAUCCUGCAUGGCCAGAGUUUGUUCCAUCUAGUGGGAAGGAAAAAACUAGGAAGAUGGAUUACUUAAGAUAUGGGGGUCAUUUCCUGAUUGGGAUCCGGGGGCCAAGGGAGGAUGCAGUGGAAAUAAGGAAGAAAAUUGUUAAUUUUUGUGAGAGUAAGUUUGGGUUAAGGUUGGAUAAUUCCAAGUUGGAGAUUGAACAUAUUACAAGGGGAAUCCAAUUCUUGGACCAUAUAAUAUGCCGAAGGGUGAUACACCCAACCUUGCGUUACACGGGUUCUGGAGGUAACAUUGUGAGUGAAAAGGGUGUGGGAACUUUGCUUUCAGUUACUGCUAGCUUACAACAAUGCAUUCGCCAGUUUAGGCGGCUUGAGCUUGUGAAGGGUGAUAAGGACCCCGAGCCACUUCCCUGUAAUCCUAUGUUGUAUUCAGGUCAAGCUCAUACCAACUCCCAAAUGAAUAAAUUCCUUGAGACCAUGGCUGAUUGGUAUAGAUAUGCUGAUAAUCGCAAAAAAGUUGUUGGCUUUUGUGCAUAUGUCAUUCGUAGCUCUUUGGCUAAAUUGUAUGCUGCUAGGUAUAGGCUAAAGUCCCGUGCCAAAGUGUAUGGAAUAGCUUCACGAAAUCUCAGUCGUCCUCUGAGAGAGAGCAGUAACAAUUCGGCACCUGAAUAUUCAGAUCUUUUGAGGAUGGGGCUCGUUGAUGCAAUUGAAGGUGUUCAGUUUUCGCAUAUGUCUUUAAUUCCAUCUUGUGAUUAUACUCCAUUCCCAAGAAAUUGGAUCCCAGAUCAUGAGAGGGUGUUGCAUGAGUAUAUAAAACUUGAAAAUCCCAAAUUUUUUAUUGACUUGCUAAGAUCCAUUAAGCAGAAAGGUUUAAGUCUUUCUCAAGAUGAAAUAUCUCAAAUGGUAUGGGACUACAAAACUCUUGGGGUUCGAAAUUUUCGAUCUGAUGAAGAUAAAGAAGUGAAAACUGAUUUAAAGGAGAUAACUGGGUAAGUUUGGCAAUGACCUAAAAUUAGUGGAGUCUUCUAUUAUCAAGGUUCUGCUUCAAAGUUGGCAAUCUCAGAGAAAAAUUAAUGUGUCCAUUGGAAGGGUGCAGCUCGGAUGGGGGUGUUGUAAUUAACUACUGACAAUAUAGAUGACGGCAACAGGUUUACCUACAGAUUUAAAUUACUUAAAAAGGAAAAUUGAUGAAAUAUUCAAGAGGAAUUUUUUGCACGGGAGGUAUUAGGAGGUCGAGGGUCUCCUUUGGAAUAAAGAGAGGUAAUUUCAUCUACUUGUACUUUUUAAUUGCUGCAGGCUGGAAUAUUUGUUGGAUCUGUGGUUGAUAAACUUUUCUAAUUGCUGAAAUUCAUGUACGUUGGGAUUCUCUCCUCUGCAUCAAAAUAUAGUAUUUGGUAGUAUAUUUUAUCUAACUUCAUAACAAAUCGUCGCAUUUGUGUAGUCAUGAUACUGCUUUUCUGUGUUUCUUUUAUUUGGGUUUGUAUAACAGUUGUAGACCAACAGUCAUCUCGUUGUGCUUGUCUAGCACUGGAAUGUGUGACAGUAUCGCAGUUUAGUUUACCUACAAACUUGAGGGAUACAAAAGUUUGUCGGGCAUUAGUAAGACAUAAUUAUCUCCUAAACGUAUCCCAGAGUAAAAGGUAGGUCAUAGGUGAGCAUUUGGUGCCGGAUUUUAGCUUUCUAUUUUUGAAAUUUAUGUAGUGUCAAUUAUUUAGAUUAAUCAAUUAUUUAGUAUAUAUGGUGAUCUUCUUACGCUUAACGCAUGCUGGUAUUCUUGCGUCUGCUUAUACUGUUUCCUGAGUGAGACUAAUGCGAUGAAUUUCUUUAAAAUUCACGCAAGUUAUGAGGUAGUCUAAAUAGUAAAUACUUCAUUAGAAGCUAGGCGAGUUGUAGAAAUAUCGAUACUU
This is an RNA transcript of Gastrolobium bilobum, 3003 nucleotides long. It is a transcript of the gene named nuclear intron maturase 1, mitochondrial, with no coding region annotated. The transcript is spliced from 3 exons. NCBI's taxonomy places the organism in Eukaryota, Viridiplantae, Streptophyta, Magnoliopsida, Fabales, Fabaceae. The record is from RefSeq and is a predicted model, not a curated record.